Molecule: long non-coding RNA, 739 nt
Organism: Columba livia (rock pigeon)
Lineage: Eukaryota; Metazoa; Chordata; Aves; Columbiformes; Columbidae
Exons: 2
Source: RefSeq, a predicted model, not a curated record
UACCUGCAUUUAUGUUCUGAUUUCUCUCUCUCUCCCGGGGCCAUACCACUUUUCUUUUCUCACUCAAAGCAGCUCUGCUGUAAAGACAGGUAUAACUAAUAGCACUGGGCUUCGUCAAUGAAGCAGAGUUCAAUUUACCCUUUGCCGAGAUCGUACGGAAUCAGGCACAGGCAAGAAAUGUCGGGCUAAGAUUUAUGUGGGACUGUUUGUUUAAAUGGGUUCCCUACUUCCUUAUUUCCAUGGAGCGAGGAAGCUGCCGACAUCUGCUCUGUGCCUGAUACUGCCUCCAAUUCCACCAGCAGAAACUUCUCCCAAGAGACAGGAGCAGGUCUGAUACGAGAUGUGAUGCUUCUCUUGCCCAAGCUGUGGCAGCUCUGUCUCCUGCGGGAUGGCAUGCAGCUACGGGAGAACAAGGAGCAGGUCCAGGGAAAGCUGCCUGGGUUUGAAGCUGAAGAAAGACUCCAGCAAGCCGCAGAUCCACAGGGACUCUUCUACAUCCAGGCUUCAACUAGAGAGAAAUUCAGUUUUAUGCCUAAAAGUUAUGUGUUUUAUGCCUUUUGAAAUGUGUGCUAAAGCUCUUAUGUGUCACAUGCAGCUCCCUGCAUGGCUGUGCCAAUGUCCCGGGAUUUUACUGUGCAGAUACUCCUGCCUUCAGAUGGAAGGGGACGCUGAAACUAAUGGAAAAUAGGCUGACUUUAUACUAGCCCUGUAACAAAAUAAAUUGAGGGGAAUGUGUUAA